CAAACGGCCCUUUUCAGGGCCAAAAAUCAAUUCAAAGGAAAUGACU
Non-coding RNA from Beta vulgaris subsp. vulgaris (sugar beet), 46 nucleotides. The record is from Rfam. Lineage: Eukaryota; Viridiplantae; Streptophyta; Magnoliopsida; Caryophyllales; Amaranthaceae.